UUUGGUUGAGACUCAUGCCGGUGGAUGGUAAUCGCAAGGGUGUGCGAGCGAUGAUCUUUGAGAAAUCGAGUUUUAUCGCAAUGUAACAGCAUCGGAACCGUCCACGAGUCGCAACAGCCGUGCAAGGAUACGAGAAGAAAAGAAAACGAGUGGAAUGCAUCAGGAUGCAGCAGGGUUAGAUAAUGUUAAGGUUAGAGGUUAGAAUGCGGGCAGGAUGGGCGCGAGUCAAGCUCACUACGGUUCUGGGCGCGACUAUCGGCUGCGGCGGUAGUCGCGCGGGCGAGAGAGGCUAGCGGGCUUCCGCGCGGCAGGUUGAGAGGAGAGCGCGUUCGUCGCGGAGUAGCGAGCAAACAGGCGGCGCGCGAGUGAACAGUGAGCGGCGAUCAGCGCGAGAGAGCGAGAUAGCUAGCGAGCGUGCACACGAGUGAACGCGUGCGAUUUCCCUUCGAAAGAAAUGUCGGCGCUCGCCGCAGCGGCGUGUUAAACGGCAAAACAUGUCCAAAGCGCUGCUCGGUCGCGCGCAGACACCCGGCGGCGGUGUUCAAACGGGCGCAACGGUGACCUGCGUGGUGUGCGAGCGAACUGACAAGCUGUUGAGAUGCUCGCGUUGCAAAGCGGUGUUCUAUUGCACAAAAGAGCAUCAGAGAAGCGAUUGGAAACGUCACCGGGACUUCUGCGCGACCCAUCCGGCGGUGCGAGCCGCGUCCGCGAGCGAACCCCUCACCGCCGCGGACAGGAAUUUCAAUCGCGAGCUCCCGCCGUCCAGACAUCUCGCCGUCGACAAGGUGCCGAGCGCGCCAGUUCCUAACCUAGCCAGGAUCCCCAUCUCGGACACGUCAUGGGUCACGAACGUCAUCUCGGAGCCGUAUCGGAACGCGAAGCAAUUCACAGCCAUUACGCAAGGAGGAAACGGAUCGAGUCAGCACGAACGGAAGGAGAAUCAGAAUCUUAAGAAGAAGCCGAACAGCGGAAAGUCGCGGAACGUGCGCAACAGCAAAGCCGAUUGCUGGACGUUGCCCAUAACGUACGAGGGAAGUUCCGAGGACACCAUACUGGGCGCCAGGGCAGAACUCUUGAAUCCCGCCUUGGAGAGCUCAAGGAUCUUUGAGAGCUUGACUAACGCAGACCUUGGAAUGCCUAUCCGGCAUCACAACGGCACCAAGAGCUUCCCAGAGGUGCAGUUGGGUCAGCAGGAACAGGAAGAGGAACUCUUGCCCCCUUUUUUACAUAGGAAUAGGGACGAUAUUGAGGAGCUGUUGGAUGAAAUUUGCCGGAAUAUGAUAAGAGACAUGAACAACUACGGUGUGUGCGUGGUGGACAAUUUUUUAGGCAAGGAGAGGGGUGAGGCAGUGCUGAGGGAGGUUUUAAAUAUGUACAGUGCAGGUUUAUUUAAAGACGGACAGCUGGUGUCUAAUAAGGCUGGUGCAAAUGACUUGAAAACAAUACGUGGUGAUCAGAUCACAUGGUUGGAUGGCAAGGAGCAGCAAUGCCAGAACAUUGGUAUACUCAUAUCGCGGGUUGAUGCAAUCAUUAUGAGAGCCAACAAGAUGCGUAACAAUGGGAAGAUAGGAAACUAUACAAUCAACGGAAGAACAAAAGCUAUGGUAGCUUGUUAUCCUGGUCAUGGCUCGCAUUAUGUAAAACAUGUGGAUAAUCCCAACCGAGACGGACGUUGCAUCACGGCCAUUUACUAUCUUAAUCAGAAUUGGGACAUUAAGAAGAAUGGCGGACUUCUGAGAAUAUUUCCUGAAGGAUGGCGUGAUCAAGUAGCGAAUAUUGAACCCCUGUUCGACAGGAUAUUAUUUUUCUGGUCUGACAGGCGAAAUCCGCACGAAGUGCAACCAGCAUACGAAACUAGGUACGCUAUCACGCUCUGGUAUUUCGACGCUGAAGAAAGAAAUCAGGCUUGCAGAAGAUAUCAAAGGGAACGUACGUAAGCGAUCGCAUCGACACGUACGCGCGCGCGCGCGCGCGCAUUUUGCUUGUGACUAUGAAAAGGAGAAUUGAACAAGACGAAUCACAUUUCGUGAAACGCGGAAGACGUACUACGCCCUUUGGACUGAUAUCCCUCACUCUGUACAUAAAAUAUGUAUUAUUAUGUAUUAUGAUACAGCUGAUAAUUUUUGCGGGAGGAAUUGAAUAGCUUACGAAACAAAACAAAAUUAUUUUAUCGGCGAUGAGUGUUUAAAAAAAAAAGUGCAAUAGACGUAAGUGAUCUUUCUUUUCUUCCGUUUUUCUUUUUUUUUUUUUUACAGAUGAAACUGUAAUAUAUGUGAUGAGUUAAUGUGUGUAGUUGUUGCAAUUUAUACUUAUAUGUAUAAUCGUUUAUUUGAACUUCUAAGAUCCGCUGCGUGCGUUCGCACUCUAACCCAGUAUUUAAAAUAUCGGUUUUGCAUCCUGCGUUUCAAAGAAAGCUUAUACUUGUGUCGAUCAUUGACUUCUCCAUUACGUAAAGUAUUAAUCACCUUUGCAUCGUGUAACAUAUAAAAUAUUUUAAACGAAACCGUAGGAUAUAUAAUGUGCAAAAGAAAUCUUUUCCAAAACUCGCAGACGUUAUACCUUGUGAUUGUAUUACAAAUAAAUUUAUCUCUCCGUAAUGUUUGUACGCCAUUUCUUAGAGAUAAUAAGGCAACUACUUGCUAAAGUUAUAUCGCUCACGUAAAGUGUAAUAUUGACAUUGUUACAUAUUACGAUUAAACACAGAUCUAAAACUUUUUACGCUCCUCCAACGAUAUCACGUUCAGUUUACUAUGGCCAGUGACUGAUUUUUGUUCCCAGCGCAACAAAUUGAAAUUAAACGAAACUCAAUCUGUAUCUGUAUAAUAUUAUGUAUAUUGUCACGUUGUAAAAAUAUACACACCCAAAUAUUACAUACA
Molecule: RNA transcript, 2876 nt
Organism: Odontomachus brunneus
Lineage: Eukaryota; Metazoa; Arthropoda; Insecta; Hymenoptera; Formicidae
Gene: Hph
Gene name: egl nine homolog 1
Exons: 5
Source: RefSeq, a predicted model, not a curated record